This 371-nucleotide long non-coding RNA is filed under the name Ananas comosus (pineapple). RNAcentral's name for it is "long non-coding RNA (ACOM_LNC020303)". Lineage: Eukaryota; Viridiplantae; Streptophyta; Magnoliopsida; Poales; Bromeliaceae. The record is from RNAcentral.
AACAAAUGAUUCCAUUUACUCCACCGUUAUUUUCAAUGAUGGAGCAUUCAAAUCGACGAUCAACACUGUUAAAUAUAAUCUUAACUACUUAAUUUUUCUAGAAUUCGAAUUUUGUAAUCGUAGCAGUAAACUAGUAUAAGUAUAUAAUCAUGUGACUGUUCAACUAAAUAGCUACGCUCAAUAUACUUAUUUUUUAAUGAGCACAUAUAUGCUUACUCUAAUAUUUCUACACUAGUGAUUUAAGAUUUGUUAUCUUAAUUAAAAAAUAUACAAUACACCGACCUAUUCAGAAUAUCACCACUCCUGUCUAAUUAGGAGCGUUAUAAUCUUAUACAAAAAUGUAUAUAAAUAAAAUUUCUAUGUACGAUCCA